UACGUAGGAGACGAGCGUUGUCCGGAAUUACUGGGCGUAAAGCGCGUGUAGGCGGUGCGGUAAGUCUGUAGUGAAAUCUCUGGGCUCAACUCAGAGUCUGCUGCAGAAACUGCCGUGCUUGAGUGUGGGAGAGGUGAGUGGAAUUCCCGGUGUAGCGGUGAAAUGCGUAGAUAUCUGGAGGAACAUCAGUGGCGAAGGCGACACCCUGGACUCAUACUGACACUGAGGUGCGAAAGCGUGGGGAGCAAACAGG
This 253-nucleotide ribosomal RNA is filed under the name uncultured bacterium. Its description in RNAcentral is "partial 16S ribosomal RNA". It matches the Rfam family "Bacterial small subunit ribosomal RNA", at positions 524 to 776 of the family's 1533-position model. The record is from RNAcentral.